AUUGAACGCUGGCGGCAUGCCUUACACAUGCAAGUCGAACGGCAGCAUGGAGAGCUUGCUCUCUGAUGGCGAGUGGCGAACGGGUGAGUAAUGCAUCGGAACGUACCGUGUAAUGGGGGAUAACGUAGCGAAAGUUACGCUAAUACCGCAUACGACCUGAGGGUGAAAGAAGGGGAUCGCAAGACCUUGCGUUAUACGAGCGGCCGAUGUCAGAUUAGCUAGUUGGUGAGGUAAAGGCUCACCAAGGCGACGAUCUGUAGCGGGUCUGAGAGGAUGAUCCGCCACACCGGGACUGAGACACGGCCCAGACUCCUACGGGAGGCAGCAGUGGGGAAUUUUGGACAAUGGGGGCAACCCUGAUCCAGCCAUGCCGCGUGAGUGAAGAAGGCCUUCGGGUUGUAAAGCUCUUUCGGCCGGGAAGAAAUCGCACAGGCUAAUACUCUGUGUGGAUGACGGUACCGGCACAAGAAGCACCGGCUAACUACGUGCCAGCAGCCGCGGUAA
RNAcentral lists this ribosomal RNA (504 nucleotides) under uncultured bacterium. RNAcentral's name for it is "partial 16S ribosomal RNA". It matches the Rfam family "Bacterial small subunit ribosomal RNA", at positions 30 to 523 of the family's 1533-position model. The record is from RNAcentral.